Myxocyprinus asiaticus (Chinese sucker) is the source of this 1571-nucleotide long non-coding RNA. RefSeq lists it as uncharacterized. The record is from RefSeq and is a predicted model, not a curated record. The transcript has 3 exons. Lineage: Eukaryota; Metazoa; Chordata; Actinopteri; Cypriniformes; Catostomidae.
GUUCCAGGAAAACUUCAUUGGUGGCUUGCAGCAGUGGUUGAGUCGAGGCUGUUGAGCUGCCCACUGAACUCAGCCUUUGCGCCCUCUGCAGGCCUGGAGAAACAAAUGCUUCACAGCUGCUAGUGCUGAGAUUCAGCAGUUCAGUCCUUUCCACCAGUUUCUUGAAGGUUGGUCUCUUCAGGGGGUCAGCACUCCAACACCAUCUCAUUACCUCAUAACUGAAUGUGGAUCCAACUGGAACUCCAGGAUAUGGUGUGUUACCUGCAGACAGAUUCAUCUUAUAAUACCCUGAUAACAAGUGAUUUAUAGACACUCAGCACAUGUAAUCUGACAUGUAAUAUGGAUGAUAUCAGCUCGUACACACCAAGAGAGAAGAUCUCCCACAGUAAGAUGCCGUAGGACCAGAUAUCACUCUCAAAUGUGUACACGCAAGAAAACAGACUCUCUGGGGACAUCCACUUCACUGGGAGACAUGCCUGAACAAGAAACGCAUCAUUAAAGAUGCUGAACAAUGAAUUCCAUUGCAUCACAUGAAUGCAAUAGUGUGCGGUUAUUGAAGCCAUUGUAGAUAUGCGCUAUUCGUAGUCAACCAUGAUUAAAGAAAUAUUUUGACUUGCCCAUCUUUUUCUUUAAAAAAAUUUAAAAAAAAGCACUGGGUUACAGUGAGGCACUUACAGUGGAAGUCGAAGGGGGCCAAUUUUUGAACAUGAACCUCCUGAGACCCCGCAUGACUGCUGUGUGCAUUUCCCAUUUCCCUUUUUUUUCCUUUUUCUCCCCAAUUUCGAAUGCCCAGUUCCCAAAGCAUUCUAAGUCCUUGUGGUGGCAUAGGUACUCGCCUCAAUCCGGUUGCCGGAGGACAAAUCUCAGUUGCCUCCGCAUCUGAGAACGUCAAUCCGCGCAUCUUAUCACAUGGCUUGUUGAGCGUGUUACCGCAGAGACAUAGCCCACGUGGAGGCUUCAUGCUAUUCUCCGCGGCAUCCACGCACAACUCACGACGCGCCCCACCGAGAGCGAACCACAUUAUAGUGACCACGAGGAGGUUACCCCGUGUGACUCUACCCUCCCUAGCAACUGGGCCAAUUUGGUUACCUAGGAGACCUGACUGGAGUCACUCAGCACACCCUGGAUUCAAACUCUAGGGGUGGUAGUCAGCGUCUUUACUCGCUGAGCUACCCAGGCCCCCAGUAGCGGUAUCUUUGAUUUUUGACGGGAAUGACAACAAAGCUGUGAGGGACAAACUUACAGUCUCUUCAAAGGGUUGUACUGUUAAAGUGUUUUGGAUCAUUCUGCUGAAGAAAUAAUGAAAAAAAAAUCAUCUUUCCAAGAAACUUCAGUUAAUGGAAAACUGCAGAAAACAUGAGUUGUGGAAAAUUAGAUGUGAUCUAGGAGCUUUAUACAGUGGAUGCCACUGAAGAGACUGUAAGUCUAUCCCUCACAGCCUUGUUUUCUUUCACAUCAAAAAGGUCAAAGUCUUUUGUAAUGGGGGAAAAAAUUACUGAGUGCACCUUUAAAUCAAUGGGUUAUUUACUGUGUAAAAUCUAAAAAGAUAAGUUGAAUAUGGAUAUAGAGCC